Molecule: transfer RNA, 112 nt
Filed under: Exophiala xenobiotica
Lineage: Eukaryota; Fungi; Ascomycota; Eurotiomycetes; Chaetothyriales; Herpotrichiellaceae
Rfam family: tRNA
About the family: Transfer RNA (tRNA) molecules are approximately 80 nucleotides in length. Their secondary structure includes four short double-helical elements and three loops (D, anti-codon, and T loops).
Source: Rfam by way of RNAcentral
CAGCCUGUGACGCAGUCGGUUUAGCGUGUCGUUCUUAUAUUGUAUGCUUGCAUGCAUUAUGCCUCUUAUAUGAGUAAUGCGAAAGUCGCGAGUUCAAGUCUCGCCAGGAUCA